Long non-coding RNA from Amphiprion ocellaris (clown anemonefish), 2005 nucleotides. RefSeq lists it as uncharacterized. The transcript has 3 exons. The record is from RefSeq and is a predicted model, not a curated record. NCBI's taxonomy places the organism in Eukaryota, Metazoa, Chordata, Actinopteri, Pomacentridae.
GAACCCUGGUGCUGCCUCCAUGUUGCUUUUAGUCGCACCAAAUGCAGUCCAAAGUGCUCAGAAAGAAAAGAAAGCAACCUGACCUGCUCUGCGUUCUCUCUUCACCACUGACAGGAAGACAGCAGCAGAACGUGCACAAGUUCGAGGAGGAAGAGAGAGCAAAGCGAGGCUUUGAGGUCAGGUCGGAUUGUGACAAACAUCCGUCAGCAGGCGCAGAAGAAGAAAAAAAAACUCGACCUCAGAAUGUUUCCAUCAACAUGGAUGGAAAAAAACCUGCAGCUGAAGAAAUGGAUGCAGAAAAAGAAUAAAUUCGUGCAUGAUAAAAUCACCAGAAUGCAGGAAAUGAAGAGUUUCAGACUCAGAAGUUGCACAGAUUGCUGAACUCCCAUGAUUGAAGUGGACAAUUCAAGGACUAGCAUGAGUUCAACCUGCCACCACAGGCCAAGUAUUAAACAAACUGGAGAACAAUGAAGGAAGGUGUGUAAAUGUAUUUAUUGUCCACAGUGCAUAUCAUAAAAUCACAAUCCUAUUCAUCCGAUUGGGGUCUAAUCAUUAAUAUCAUUAAUACUGAUUGCACAUGAGCACAAUGAACCAAGGGUGAAAAUCACUGCACUCUUAAAACAUCACUGCAUAUCAGAUAGCACUGCAAUCAGUGCACUCCUGCCUGUAACCAUCACAUGUAAGUCGGAUCUCAGUGCUACUGGAAAUUAAGACUGAUAAUUACUUACCUCAGAUCACAACAGGGAACUGAAUAAAAUAAACACAAUAAUUAACAAAAAUAGUAAAAGUGAGUUUGCCACCACAUGAUGUGCUCCCAGGUCUUUACAUCCAAGGACUCUGCAAGGCCAAGCGGACGAACAAAAGCGAACAAAACCCACAAGCAAAAACCAAAAAGGACAGCAGGAGAGAGUGAUGAACAGUAGCUGCUACGCCAGCCUCUCACACAGCAGGAAAUCUCUCGCCUCAUGAAACUCUGUGGCCGCACACAAAUCACAGCUGAAGCCUCGUGUCUCUCUGGACUCAUGCAGAAAAUCGUCAGCGCCUCCCUACUCACCAAACUCAUUUUAUUGUUGCUUCCCUCAAUCAGAGGCAGACAGUGGAGGACCACCAGCUGUAAUGGUUACACUCGGGUUAAACAUUUGACAGAACCAGUGACAGGUGGAUCUGACUGAUAACUUGAGGACACUGAACACAGUGAUUCAGCAGUGACCUGUCAAUCACAAGGUAGCCCCGCCCUAAAACAUAUCCCACUUUGUCCUCUAUUUUACUCUAAAUAGAACCAUAAUUUACUAAAUGAACAUCAUUCUGUACUGAAGAAGGCUUUAAACUAGUGAUUAGGACCAUGAACUCUUUAGGAAAAUGCUUAUAGAGGUAAUAAAUCAAGUGAGAAGGAGGCUCAUUUUCUCAUUGGGUUCUAUACAACCAGACAUCUUUUAGAAAUCAGGGAAGUCGUCAUCUGCUGGCUGUUAGAAACAAUGUAGCUUUAAGUCCUCUCUGCACUUCUGUCACUUUUCAGAUUGAAAGCUAUGUCCAUUUUUAUCUGUGUUUCAUUAUAUUUUAAAUUGUUUCUGUUUCAUUUGCAGAAAUAAAGACAACUACCCUAUGAACAGAUGAUACUAAUUGGUACACCAGAAUUCUUGGUAGAGGAUCUUCUCACUUUCUGCUUAACGCUUAAGACUGAAGUCGAGAAAUAGAUGCAGAAUUAGUCCAAGAGCUGACCUUUGAGUGUCGCUACAUGUGUGCCCAGUAAAUCAAAUAAUAGGAUCAUUGUUAUUAAAGUUCUCCCUUCACAAACCCCAAAAACAGAACCAAAGGAACAAAUAACAAAUGACAUACAAAGCAAUUUCUUCUUAUUAGUAGUUUUUAAUCAUAUAAUUUUAUUUAUUAGAAGACAUUUUGCCCUUUAGUGUUUAGAUUGGAUUGUAUUAUCAUUAUUUUCAUAUUCAUGUUCAGUUUUAUGUUGUUAAUCAUCAUAUUGCAAAAAAUAAUGAUCUUCCAUUUUCAC